RNAcentral lists this ribosomal RNA (512 nucleotides) under uncultured Glomeromycotina. Its description in RNAcentral is "SSU rRNA". It matches the Rfam family "Eukaryotic small subunit ribosomal RNA", at positions 569 to 1085 of the family's 1831-position model. The record is from RNAcentral. Lineage: Eukaryota; Fungi; Glomeromycota.
AGCAGCCGCGGUAAUUCCAGCUCCAAUAGCGUAUAUUAAAGUUGUUGCAGUUAAAAAGCUCGUAGUUGAAUUUCGGGAUCAAGGGAUCGGUCAUGCAUUAGUAUGUACUGGUCUUAUUGGUUCUCACCUUCUAAGGAACCAUGAUGUCAUUUAUUUGAUGUUGUGGGGAAUUAGGACUGUUACCUUGAAAAAUUAGAGUGUUUAAAGCAGGCUUACGCUUGAAUACAUUAGCAUGGAAUAAUGAAAUAGGACAUCAGAUUCUAUUUUGUUGGUUUCUAGGAUCGAUGUAAUGAUUAAUAGGGAUAGUUGGGGGCAUUAGUAUUCAAUUGUCAGAGGUGAAAUUCUUGGAUUUAUUGAAGACUAACUACUGCGAAAGCAUUUGCCAAGGAUGUUUUCAUUAAUACAAGAACGAAAGUUAGGGGAUCGAAGACGAUCAGAUACCGUCGUAGUCUUAACCAUAAACUAUGCCGACUAGGGAUCGGAUGAUGUUAAUUUUAAUGUACUCAUCGGUA